AUACGGAGGAUGCGAGCGUUAUCCGGAUUUAUUGGGUUUAAAGGGUGCGUAGGCUGUGCGUUAAGUCAGGGGUGAAAUGCCGUCGCUCAACGACGGAGCUGCCCUUGAUACUGGCGUGCUGGAGGACGGCUGCCGUUGGAGGAAUGAGCGGUGUAGCGGUGAAAUGCUUAGAUAUCACUCAGAACACCGAUUGCGAAGGCAUCUGACGAAUCCGUCACUGACGCUGAGGCACGAAAGCGUGGGGAUAGAACAGUAUUAGAUACCCUGGUAUUCCACGCCGUAAACGAUGAUGACUAACCGUCGGCGAUAGACAGCCGGUGGCCAAGCGAAAGCGAUAAGUCAUCCACCUGGGGAGUACGUCGGCAACGAUGAAACUCAAAUGAAUUGACGGGG
Molecule: ribosomal RNA, 393 nt
Filed under: uncultured bacterium
Lineage: Bacteria
Description: partial 16S ribosomal RNA
Rfam family: Bacterial small subunit ribosomal RNA
Source: RNAcentral